Non-coding RNA from Tinamus guttatus (white-throated tinamou), 105 nucleotides. The record is from RefSeq and is a predicted model, not a curated record. NCBI's taxonomy places the organism in Eukaryota, Metazoa, Chordata, Aves, Tinamiformes, Tinamidae.
AGAUUUUGCUAAUUUGAAAACUCUCAACAAUCUGAAUGAUCGGAGAACGGAUAAUCCAUCCACAUUUGAAAGAAAAAGUUCUGCCAAACUAAGGGUGACAAUAAA